Molecule: small RNA, 60 nt
Filed under: uncultured Agathobaculum sp.
Lineage: Bacteria; Bacillati; Bacillota; Clostridia; Eubacteriales; Butyricicoccaceae
Description: Streptococcus sRNA SpF59 (ldcC RNA)
Rfam family: Streptococcus sRNA SpF59 (ldcC RNA)
Source: RNAcentral
UGACCGCCCUUUCUAUCCGAAAGGCGCCAAGGCCAUACGGACAGCCGGGUCAAAUGCCGA